GACUUAAGCAUAUCAAUAAGCGGAGGAAAAGAAACUAACAGGAUUCCCCUAGUAACUGCGAGUGAAGAGGGAAAAGCUCAAAUUUAAAAUCUGGUAGUCUCUGGCUGCCCGAGUUGUAAUCUAGAGAAGCAUUAUCCGCGCCGGACCAUGUACAAGUUUUCCUGGAAUGGAGCGUCAUAGAGGGUGAGAAUCCCGUCUUUGACAUGGGCUACCGGGGCUUUGUGAUGUGCUCUCCAAGAGUCGAGUUGUUUGGGAAUGCAGCUCUAAAUGGGUGGUAAAUUCCAUCUAAAGCUAAAUAUUGGCGAGAGACCGAUAGCGAACAAGUACCGUGAGGGAAAGAUGAAAAGAACUUUGGAAAGAGAGUUAAACAGUACGUGAAAUUGUUGAAAGGGAAACGCUUGAAGUCAGUCGCGUCUGCCAGGAAUCAACCUUGCAUUUUUGCUGGGUGUACUUUCUGGUUGGACGGGUCAGCAUCAAUUUUGAUCAGUGGAAAAAGUUCAGAGGAAUGUGGCACCUUCGGGUGUGUUAUAGCCUUUGUUCGUAUACAUUGAUUGGGAUUGAGGAACUCAGCAUGCCGUAAGGCCGGGUCUUUUGACUACGUUCAUGCUUAGGAUGCUGGCAUAAUGGCUUUAAUCGACCCGUCUUGAAACACGGACCAAGGAGUCUAACAUGCCCGCGAGUGUUUGGGUGGAAAACCCAGACGCGUAAUGAAAGUGAAGGUUGAGAUCCCUGUCGUGGGGAGCAUCGACGCCCGGACCAGAACUUCUGUGACGGAUCCGCGGUAGAGCGUGUAUGUUGGGACCCGAAAGAUGGUGAACUAUGCCUGAAUAGGGUGAAGCCAGAGGAAACUCUGGUGGAGGCUCGUAGCGAUUCUGACGUGCAAAUCGAUCGUCAAAUUUGGGUAUAGGGGCGAAAGACUAAUCGAACCAUCUAGUAGCUGGUUCCUGCCGAG
RNAcentral lists this ribosomal RNA (952 nucleotides) under Gerhardtia foliicola. RNAcentral describes it as "partial large subunit ribosomal RNA". It matches the Rfam family "Eukaryotic large subunit ribosomal RNA", at positions 31 to 965 of the family's 3401-position model. The record is from RNAcentral. Lineage: Eukaryota; Fungi; Basidiomycota; Agaricomycetes; Agaricales; Lyophyllaceae.